AGCAUUUUCCUAAACAAGCAAACUUAUGAAAAGGUGAGAUUUAAUAUCAAUUUAGGAGGUGAAAAUAGUAAAUCCUUGGAAAACUUUAGUGUUUUGGGCUUUACAUUGAUGAAUAGGUCCAAUCUUAAAGAACAGUUAUGAAGAAGCAAGUAGUUUUCAAGGCCCAUCAUCAAAUCAUCUCGUCCAACAAAUUUGUUCAUGUCACUACGGAACUCAGGACAAUUCUUCCUGCACCUUCAUGUUUUCUUCCUGCACCCUAUAGAAGAAGUGAAAUAACAAUUUUACUCUUUUCUUAUUUUUUUUAAUUAAACACCUCUCUUUCCCUUUCCAGUGGUAACAACUUCCACUUCUAGCUUCCAUAGCCGCAAUAGCUCCCUAGCUCCAACACCAUUGUCAUACUAAUCCCACCUCCACGGCUACUGCCAUAACCUCUCGCGCCACCACCACAAUCACUUUUAUUGUCUAAAUAAAAAUAUAUAUAUUAGAGAUUGCACAAUCCAAAAUAAAUUUUUUUAUUAUUUUGAAUUGUUAAUUUUAAGUACAAAUUCUUAAUAUUUUAAAUUACAUAAUUAAAAAUAUAAAUUAAUAAAUUUAAUAUAUUUUAAAUUGUAUAAUUUAAAAUAUAAAAAAUAUAUUUUAAAUUCUAAAAUACAACGUAUUAUGAAUUCCAUAAUUCAUGAAUUUAUAUUUUGAAUUAUAAGAUCUAAAAUAUAAAUUUGUAUUUUAGAAUUUAAAAUAAAAAGUUUAUAUUUCAGAGAUUAUAAAAUUCAAAAUAAACAAUUUUGAUAUUUAAAAAAAUACGAGAUUCCAGACGAAAAUAUGGAGAAUCAAGAAGAAUUUGUUGUCCGGAAAUGACAUUAAUGAGAUGCCUCGAGUGAAGUUUGUUUGAAGACUUGGUAUAACGUGUCUAUUAAUCAUAAAAUCUUGAAGAUACACAUUGUUUCAAUUGCCAUAAUUAAUUUAAUUAGCUUCUGUUUUUCUUCAAGGGUCAGCUUACUAGAAUUGAACAUUUGUUCUACAUAAUUAAUUUCAUGGGGUCAUUUUCCCCCUAAAAUAGCUUUAUCCAAUGUCAAUGUAACAUGUUUGAAAGAAGAAAAAAAAUAAUUAUACACAAGAGACAAAGUUCAAUUUGUAUACAUAUCUGUAUAUAUCCAUUGCAUGCAUUGAAGGAAAGCUAAAAGUAGGAUAAAAUAAAGAAAGAAAAGAGAGUGAAUAUGCCUAAUAUAUUGAGUGGUGAAGCAUGUUUUCUUACCAUUUUCUUUGGUUUCGUCUCCCAUGCUUGCCCUAAAAGUGGACAAAAUUCCAUCUCUGUCAAACUAUGGUCACAAACAAAAAGUGGGUCUCGCAAUAGAAGAAACAAAAGUUGAAAACUGAUCACUGUACAAUCCAUUGCUGGUUGUUAUGAACAAAGAAAAAGAGAUAUAACGAAAAAGAAAUAAUGGGGAGGUGCUGGUUUUAAAUUCUAAAUACAUGCAUGUUUAGUGGUGUAGAUAAUGUACUAUAUAUCCACGUUUAUCAUGAGAAAGAUUUUCAUUAUUGUUGAACAGUAAAGACCAAAACAACAUAUGAAACAAAAAUGAAGAUAAUGUAUAUUCUGCAAACUCACCAAGUCAUGCAUAUUUUUUAGACAUAUUUUAUAACUUUAUAUUUU
RNAcentral lists this long non-coding RNA (1651 nucleotides) under Phaseolus vulgaris (common bean). RNAcentral describes it as "long non-coding RNA (PVUL_LNC002020)". Lineage: Eukaryota; Viridiplantae; Streptophyta; Magnoliopsida; Fabales; Fabaceae. The record is from RNAcentral.